AGUGAACGCUGGCGGUAGGCCUAACACAUGCAAGUCGAACGGCAGCACAGUAAGAGCUUGCUCUUACGGGUGGCGAGUGGCGGACGGGUGAGGAAUACAUCGGAAUCUACUUUUUCGUGGGGGAUAACGUAGGGAAACUUACGCUAAUACCGCAUACGACCUACGGGUGAAAGCAGGGGAUCUUCGGACCUUGCGCGAUUGAAUGAGCCGAUGUCGGAUUAGCUAGUUGGCGGGGUAAAGGCCCACCAAGGUGACGAUCCGUAGCUGGUCUGAGAGGAUGAUAAGCCACACUGGAACUGAGACGCGGUCCAGACUCCUACGGGAGGCAGCAGUGGGGAAUAUUGGACAAUGGGCGCAAGCCUUAUCCAGCCAUACCGCGUGGGUGAAGGAGGCCUUCGGGUUGUAAAGCCCUUUUGUUGGGAAAGAAAAGCAGCAGGUUAAUACCCCGCUGUUCUGACGGUACCCAAAGAAUAAGCACCGGCUAACUUCGUG
This 492-nucleotide ribosomal RNA is filed under the name uncultured bacterium. RNAcentral's name for it is "partial 16S ribosomal RNA". It matches the Rfam family "Bacterial small subunit ribosomal RNA", at positions 29 to 507 of the family's 1533-position model. The record is from RNAcentral.